AUUUUAAGGGGCAAGAGCUUAGAUUGUUUGCCUCGAGAAUUGAUUCUUGGGUCAGAUCAUACGUGCGCCCCCAAUAGAGGGCUGCCGCACAGCCUUCUUCAAGUGGCGUUCUUAUGUGCUACUCUUCAUUAGCUCCCCCUUGUCUUCAUUAUAUGCAGUACUAAUUUCUCCCUUUUGUGUUUGUUUGUGCAGAAAUGGAGUUGGAAUCACCUACUACGUUGAUCUUAUGCGGGAAAUCAAGUCCAGAGAACGAAUUAGCCAGGUUUUUGAAGAUCAAUAACACAAUAAAACUUCCAGAUAAUGCUUCGAUAAAUGUUGUUUUGCAUUCGGAGAAUGAAGAACAAGAGAGCUUUCAAAAGGAUGCGUUUCAGAUAGAUUCAUAUAUGAAUUCUCUUUCAACUUCUCGUGUCGGAAGAUUCCUCAUUUACUCUCCCAUAUUACCGACCACACACGACAUUGUUUCCCAGUGAGCAAUAUUUCUUUUUUUCUUUAAGUAUCUUGUUGUAAACUCAUGGGAAUUCAUUUUAUUCUACAGUGUUAAGUGUUUGGUGUUGAUAAUUUUAACCAUGGCAAGGUAUAACACUUAAAUUCAUAAGGUACCACGAAUUCGUGCUGCAUAUUGUGCUUCAGCAAUUGACAUGUUCUUGCUGUAUAUUUCACCAGUUUUGGAUCCAAUGUUUUCACCUCAAUUCUAAAUACCCAAGCAAUAAAAUUUGUUGUCUUCUGGCAUAAAGUUGAUAAUAUUAUGCGAAAUGUUAAGAAAUGUACGAUUUUGUUGUAAAAGUACUGCAAACCCAUAUCAUACCAUGUGCUAUGUUGUUUAGACUACAUUAUCUUAUGUUCUUUUGUAGUAAUUUUUGCGAGCUGCCGUUAGGCACAGUAUGUGUUGCUGAUGUGCAGCUCAAAGGCAGAGGUAUUAAUCGUGAGGUAUUAUUUAAUAGAAGUACUAAGU
This 952-nucleotide long non-coding RNA is filed under the name Olea europaea subsp. europaea. Lineage: Eukaryota; Viridiplantae; Streptophyta; Magnoliopsida; Lamiales; Oleaceae. The record is from RNAcentral.